AAAAAAAUAGGGGAGGGCUAGGGCUAUAGCUCAGUGGUAGAGUGCCAGCCUCGCGUAUAUGAGGCACUGGGUUUGAUCCUCAGCACCACAUAAAAAUAAAUAAGUAUAUAGUGUCCACCUACAACUAAAAAAAAAAAUAGUUUUGAGGCUGAGAUUGUGGCUCAGCGGUAGAGCGCUCACUUAGCAUGGGCAGGACCCGGGUUCGAUCCUCAGCACCACACGAAAAUAAAGGCAUUGUGUUGUGUCCAUCUACACUUAAAAAAAUAAAUAUUUAAAAAGAAUAAUUUUUAAAAAACAGGGGAAUAACUGAAAGAAAAAGAACCCACAUUUGUCAAGACUCCAUUAUUUAGUUUAUGCUUUCUUAGCUUACCCGUAGAGUCUAGUUAUACCCGUGAAGGGAGAACCUCCUAAAAGGACAGUCUGGGAGGAGGAAAUAUUCCUAGGUUUAUCAAUUGAAGGAGUCAUGAUCAAAACUCUGAAGUCAUCAAAAAGAGAAUAUCAAAGCAAGGAACACAAAAAUCAAGCUCAGAGAAUAAAGUAAAAAACACUGCCCAUCACAGUUAUAGGAGUCUGAUAAUUAUAUAGGAAUGGGUUAGGGUUGGUAAGGAGAUAGUCAUGGUGAAAUGAAGUUUAAAUGAAGUUUAAAUGAGUGCUGGGCAAGCUUUAGAAAUGUGCCUGUAAUAUAGAAAUAAAGAAUAUACUUUGGCCAUAACAGCUACCAUAGUUUAUCAAUGAAUGAUGUAACAGUAUUUUACAUGUGACUAAUAAAGGGAAAACACUGUUAUAUGACACAUGAUUCACAGAUUGGGAAGAGAGGUGUUCAGAAUUGAUGAAAUUUAGUAUGUUAGAUUGGUAUCAUUAAUACUUAAAUUUUUUAAAAUGCUGACCUACUCAGACUCUUAUAUUGGAUAAGACAAAAAUGACAUUAGAGUACCUGCUCUCUUCUGUAAUGCACACCAUCCACGGAGUGGGGUAGAAUGGAAAGAGAGAGUGAGCAAGAGCACACCAGCCCAAAGAGCAUAGGCUUGGGUCAGGCAACCCUGAGAAAUUUCAUCUCCACCCUAACUUUGACAAUUCAACUUCUCUGAACAUGAAGUGCCUCAUCUAUUAAAUUUAGGUAAGAACUACUGUAUCAGCACUGUUCUGAACACUGCUAUAGCACUGUUUCAGGCACAACCCAACCUGAGGAUCUGUGAGGCUCUGAGAACUUGAGUGUUAUUUGUUCAAGUAAAUGAAGCAGUCAGACAGCAGUCUGUAUCUAGAGUUCAGACUUUUAACCACUAUUCACAAUAUCCCGUACAUAACUUAGUGCUUAGUACUUAGUAAGUUAGCAGCAUUUAGGGACUUAUUGAUAUUGUUAUCUAGUAUUAUUAAUUUUAUGAUUACAAUGUGAUCACUAUCAUUAGUGCCAUUAUCAUGGUAGUCACGUGACCCAGUGGCAUAAAUUUACCUCACCAACUACCUGAGAUUGGGGCUUCUAUUAGUUAAUAUAUUUGAGCCAUUGAACAUAAAGGAGAAUUCUAUAAAUAGGAAGGAUUUCCAGACUCAUCCUGAUUUCUUCUAAGUACAUUGACCCACCCUCCUGGGAUCCCUGAAUUUUUAUCUGAAGGCAAGGAGUCUUUAUGUAAGAUUGAACUUGUUCUGAAAGUUUGAGAGUAGUUCAAACCUUUUUUCAGAGUCAUAAAGCAUCCCCAAACUGAUGCUGAUCCUAGAGCACAUUCUUGAAGCUUUUAUUAUAGUUUUUCUUUUCUUUCUAAAUGACAACAAACUCCUUUUUGCUGGGUAAACUCUGAUUCAAAGAAUUAGAAAUUAGUAAAUUAAUGAAUCAGAAAUUAGUAAAUUAAUAAAACAGAAAUUAGUAAAUUAAUAAGUAUAUAUUUGACUGUCAUUGCGGCUAAAUGAACAUGAGGGUUAAAUGUUUUAGACAUUCAACUAUAGUUUGCUUAAAAUAUGAAAGAGAUGCCAAUUUU
This 1970-nucleotide long non-coding RNA is filed under the name Marmota monax (woodchuck). Lineage: Eukaryota; Metazoa; Chordata; Mammalia; Rodentia; Sciuridae. The record is from RNAcentral.